UCUCACAUGAGGUCCCGGCGAGAAGGACCUGCUUCCAUCAGAUUCACACUUGGGAGAGGGGCCCGGCCUCCAGGAGCGCCAGGCAGAAAGGGCACCCAUUAGGAAGAAGAACACAGAGGCCAUGGGAGUGAAAAGUUUGAUGCUGGAAAGCAACAGUAGCACAUUCUGCUACAGAGCGGAAUGAAAAACCCUGGGGAGCAAAUUCCUGAGCCAGAGAAUGGAGCGGAGGAACCAGCCAAGGAGGAUAAAGAGACUUAGCCUAGAAAAUAAUGAAGAAGGACAGAAAGAGAAUACCAUUCUACUACACCCGCUGAUGACUUAAAACCUGCGUGCUCUGAGGCUGCCCGACCCUGAGCUCCAGAACAGACCAUCGAGUUCAGGAGACAAGCAUGUCAGCCAUGACACAAGGCAGAUGAGAGGGACCCCCAGCGUCCACACGUGGAGGCAGCGGGGGCAGCCGAUCCAUACAAACAGGCUGACCAUCAGGGCUGGUCCCAGGCCACCAGGCUGGGUGCAAUGCAGAAAUGGAGAUCUGCCCCGGGGAAGGCAGG
Molecule: long non-coding RNA, 551 nt
Filed under: Homo sapiens (human)
Lineage: Eukaryota; Metazoa; Chordata; Mammalia; Primates; Hominidae
Description: ITGB2 antisense RNA 1
Source: RNAcentral